This 371-nucleotide ribosomal RNA is filed under the name uncultured bacterium. RNAcentral's name for it is "bacterial SSU rRNA". It matches the Rfam family "Bacterial small subunit ribosomal RNA", at positions 527 to 896 of the family's 1533-position model. The record is from RNAcentral.
GGAGGGUGCGAGCGUUGUUCGGAAUUACUGGGCGUAAAGCGCGUGUAGGCGGCCUUGCAAGUCAGGCGUGAAAGCCCUCGGCUUAACCGGGGAAGUGCGUCUGAAACUGCUUGGCUUGAGUACGGGAGAGGGAGGCGGAAUUCCCAGUGUAGAGGUGAAAUUCGUAGAUAUUGGGAGGAACACCGGUGGCGAAAGCGGCCUCCUGGACCGAUACUGACGCUGAGACGCGAAAGCGUGGGGAGCAAACAGGAUUAGAUACCCUGGUAGUCCACGCGGUAAACGAUGGGCACUAGGUGUGGGGGGUAUCCACUCCUCCCGUGCCGAAGCUAACGCAUUAAGUGCUCCGCCUGGGGAGUACGGCCGCAGGGUUA